CACAAGUUGAGUAGGGAAAGUUUUUCGGUGUAGGAUGAGACUAUAUAGUAUCAGCUAGUUGGUAAGGUAAUGGCUUACCAAGGCUAUGACGCUUAACUGGUCUGAGAGGAUGAUCAGUCACACUGGAACUGAGACACGGUCCAGACUCCUACGGGAGGCAGCAGUAGGGAAUAUUGCGCAAUGGGGGAAACCCUGACGCAGCAACGCCGCGUGGAGGAUGACACUUUUCGGAGCGUAAACUCCUUUUCUUAGGGAAGAAUUCUGACGGUACCUAAGGAAUAAGCACCGGCUAACUCCGUGCCAGCAGCCGCGGUAAUACGGAGGGUGCAAGCGUUACUCGGAAUCACUGGGCGUAAAGGGCGCGUAGGCGGAUUAUCAAGUCUCUUGUGAAAUCUAAUGGCUUAACCAUUAAACUGCUUGGGAAACUGAUAGUCUGGAGUGAGGGAGAGGCAGAUGGAAUUGGUGGUGUAGGGGUAAAAUCCGUAGAUAUCACCAAGAAUACCCAUUGCGAAGGCGAUCUGCUGGAACUCAACUGACGCUAAGGCGCGAAAGCGUGGGGAGCAAACAGGAUUAGAUACCCUGGUAGUCCACGCCCUAAACGAUGUACACUAGUUGUUGGGGUGCUAGUCAUCUCAGUAAUGCAGCUAACGCAUUAAGUGUACCGCCUGGGGAGUACGGUCGCAAGAUUAAAACUCAAAGGAAUAGACGGGGACCCGCACAAGCGGUGGAGCAUGUGGUUUAAUUCGAAGAUACGCGAAGAACCUUACCUGGGCUUGAUAUCCUAAGAACCUUUUAGAGAUAAGAGGGUGCUAGCUUGCUAGAACUUAGAGACAGGUGCUGCACGGCUGUCGUCAGCUCGUGUCGUGAGAUGUUGGGUUAAGUCCCGCAACGAGCGCAACCCACGUAUUUAGUUGCUAACGGUUCGGCCGAGCACUCUAAAUAGACUGCCUUCGUAAGGAGGAGGAAGGUGUGGACGACGUCAAGUCAUCAUGGCCCUUAUGCCCAGGGCGACACACGUGCUACAAUGGCAUAUACAAUGAGACGCAAUACCGCGAGGUGGAGCAAAUCUAUAAAAUAUGUCCCAGUUCGGAUUGUUCUCUGCAACUCGAGAGCAUGAAGCCGGAAUCGCUAGUAAUCGUAGAUCAGCCAUGCUACGGUGAAUACGUUCCCGGGUCUUGUACUCACCGCCCGUCACACCAUGGGAGUUGAUUUCACUCGAAGCCGGAAUACUAAACUAGUUACCGUCCACAGUGGAAUCAGCGACUGGGGUGAAGUCGUAACAAGGUAACCGUAGGAGAACCUGCGGUUGGAUCACCUCCUUUCUA
RNAcentral lists this ribosomal RNA (1325 nucleotides) under Campylobacter coli. RNAcentral describes it as "bacterial SSU rRNA". It matches the Rfam family "Bacterial small subunit ribosomal RNA", at positions 187 to 1533 of the family's 1533-position model. Lineage: Bacteria; Pseudomonadati; Campylobacterota; Epsilonproteobacteria; Campylobacterales; Campylobacteraceae. The record is from RNAcentral.